GCAACUUCUUUCUCUGACUU
Molecule: non-coding RNA, 20 nt
Filed under: Sclerotinia sclerotiorum
Lineage: Eukaryota; Fungi; Ascomycota; Leotiomycetes; Helotiales; Sclerotiniaceae
Source: RNAcentral